This 210-nucleotide long non-coding RNA is filed under the name Mytilus galloprovincialis (Mediterranean mussel). The record is from RNAcentral. Lineage: Eukaryota; Metazoa; Mollusca; Bivalvia; Mytilida; Mytilidae.
UCGUGCUUGUAUUUCUUUUUGUAUAUUGAACAGAAUAAGUGCAAUCUUAUAUAUCUUGGAUACAUAAUACAGAUCCCUUUCAUCAGAUUGAGGUCAUGUGUUUUCUUCAAUUAAUUUUAUAAUUUUUUUUUGACUUGGAUGCAAAUGGAAUAAAAGUCAACAAAGCCAAUUGACAUCUCUCUUUCUGAUUAACAUAUAGAGGACCAUUUC